RNAcentral lists this small RNA (146 nucleotides) under Sutterella seckii. RNAcentral's name for it is "HNH endonuclease-associated RNA and ORF (HEARO) RNA". It matches the Rfam family "HNH endonuclease-associated RNA and ORF (HEARO) RNA", at positions 6 to 128 of the family's 211-position model. Lineage: Bacteria; Pseudomonadati; Pseudomonadota; Betaproteobacteria; Burkholderiales; Sutterellaceae. The record is from RNAcentral.
CUACCCUCGGCUGAAGCCGAAGGCUUGUAAAAACAAGUCUUGGUUGACUAGUCCCAGUAAUCCGAACGGAUAAAACCGCAAGGAGAACUACGUUGGUUGGGAAUCCAUAGGCACCGCGGGAUGUACAUCCUAGUCCCGCGCUCUGC